This 465-nucleotide ribosomal RNA is filed under the name uncultured bacterium. Its description in RNAcentral is "bacterial SSU rRNA". It matches the Rfam family "Bacterial small subunit ribosomal RNA", at positions 43 to 507 of the family's 1533-position model. The record is from RNAcentral.
CAUGCCUUACACAGUGCAGUCGAACGGUACGGCUUCGGGUGCCGACGAGUGGCGAACGGUGAGUAAUGCAUCGGAACGUUACCUUUCAGGUGGGGAAUAACGUAGCGAAAGUUACGCUAAUACCGCAUAUUCUGUGAGCAGGAAAGCAGGGGAUCGCAAGACCUUGUGCUGAUUGAGCGGCCGAUGUCAGAUUAGCUAGUUGGUGAGGUAAAGGCUCACCAAGGCGACGAUCUGUAGCGGGUCUGAGAGGAUGAUCCGCCACACUGGAACUGAGACACGGUCCAGACUCCUACGGGAGGCAGCAGUGGGGAAUUUUGGACAAUGGGGGCAACCCUGAUCCAGCCAUGCCGCGUGAGUGAAGAAGGCCUUCGGGUUGUAAAGCUCUUUCGGCCGGGAAGAAAUCGCAUGGGUUAAUACCCUGUGCGGAUGACGGUACCGGCAUAAGAAGCACCGGCUAACUACGUG